RNAcentral lists this ribosomal RNA (253 nucleotides) under uncultured bacterium. RNAcentral's name for it is "partial 16S ribosomal RNA". It matches the Rfam family "Bacterial small subunit ribosomal RNA", at positions 524 to 776 of the family's 1533-position model. The record is from RNAcentral.
UACGUAGGGUGCAAGCGUUAAUCGGAAUUACUGGGCGUAAAGCGUGCGCAGGCGGUUGUGCAAGACAGAUGUGAAAUCCCCGGGCUUAACCUGGGAACUGCAUUUGUGACUGUACGGCUAGAGUACGGCAGAGGGGGAUGGAAUUCCGCGUGUAGCAGUGAAAUGCGUAGAUAUGCGGAGGAACACCGAUGGCGAAGGCAAUCCCCUGGGCCUGCACUGACGCUCAUGCACGAAAGCGUGGGGAGCAAACAGG